This 369-nucleotide ribosomal RNA is filed under the name uncultured soil bacterium. Its description in RNAcentral is "bacterial SSU rRNA". It matches the Rfam family "Bacterial small subunit ribosomal RNA", at positions 26 to 387 of the family's 1533-position model. The record is from RNAcentral.
AGGAUGAACGCUGGCGGCGUGCUUAACACAUGCAAGUCGAACGAUGAAGCAGAGCUUGCUCUGUGGAUUAGUGGCGAACGGGUGAGUAACACGUGAGUAACCUGCCCUUGACUCUGGAAUAAGCGUUGGAAACGACGUCUAAUACCGGAUACGAGCUUCCGCCGCAUGGUGAGGAGCUGGAAAGAAUUUUCGGUCAAGGAUGGACUCGCGGCCUAUCAGGUAGUUGGUGAGGUAAUGGCUCACCAAGCCUACGACGGGUAGCCGGGCCUGGAGACGGGGUCGACCGGCCAACGGACUCGGAACUGGAGACACGGUCCAGGACUCCUACGGGAGCAGCAGUGGGAAUAUGCACAAGGGCGCAAGCCUGAG